RNAcentral lists this small RNA (109 nucleotides) under Salmonella enterica. RNAcentral's name for it is "partial RtT sRNA". It matches the Rfam family "RtT RNA", at positions 17 to 130 of the family's 130-position model. Rfam says of the family: This family represents a bacterial cis-regulatory element known as RtT RNA. The exact function of RtT is unknown although it is thought that it may be involved in changing the cellular response in relation to amino acid starvation. RNAcentral also lists the same sequence under 1 other name. The record is from RNAcentral. Lineage: Bacteria; Pseudomonadati; Pseudomonadota; Gammaproteobacteria; Enterobacterales; Enterobacteriaceae.
GAAGAUUCGAACCUGCCGCAGGUUCGGGUCGAACGCAGUGAGACAACGGAGCCGUUUACGGCGACGGCCCGUAGGGCGAGCGAAGCGAGUCAUCCUGCACGACCCACCA